UGGGGCUUAGCUCAGCUGGGAGAGCAUCUGCCUUACAAGCAGAGGGUCAGCGGUUCGAUCCCGUUAGCCCCCACCA
RNAcentral lists this transfer RNA (76 nucleotides) under Paenilisteria riparia FSL S10-1204. Its description in RNAcentral is "Listeria riparia FSL S10-1204 tRNA-Val". It matches the Rfam family "tRNA". From Rfam's summary of the family: Transfer RNA (tRNA) molecules are approximately 80 nucleotides in length. Their secondary structure includes four short double-helical elements and three loops (D, anti-codon, and T loops). RNAcentral also lists the same sequence under 1 other name. Lineage: Bacteria; Bacillati; Bacillota; Bacilli; Caryophanales; Listeriaceae. The record is from RNAcentral.